GAUGAACGCUGGCGGCGUGCCUAAUACAUGCAAGUCGAGCGAACGGACGAGAAGCUUGCUUUUCUGAUGUUAGCGGCGGACGGGUGAGUAACACGUGGAUAACCUACCUAUAAGACUGGGAUAACUUCGGGAAACCGGAGCUAAUACCGGAUAAUAUUUUGAACCGCAUGGUUCAAAAGUGAAAGACGGUCUUGCUGUCACUUAUAGAUGGAUCCGCGCUGCAUUAGCUAGUUGGUAAGGUAACGGCUUACCAAGGCAACGAUGCAUAGCCGACCUGAGAGGGUGAUCGGCCACACUGGAACUGAGACACGGUCCAGACUCCUACGGGAGGCAGCAGUAGGGAAUCUUCCGCAAUGGGCGAAAGCCUGACGGAGCAACGCCGCGUGAGUGAUGAAGGUCUUCGGAUCGUAAAACUCUGUUAUUAGGGAAGAACAUAUGUGUAAGUAACUGUGCACAUCUUGACGGUACCUAAUCAGAAAGCCACGGCUAACUACGUGCCAGCAGCCGCGGUAAUACGUAGGUGGCAAGCGUUAUCCGGAAUUAUUGGGCGUAAAGCGCGCGUAGGCGGUUUUUUAAGUCUGAUGUGAAAGCCCACGGCUCAACCGUGGAGGGUCAUUGGAAACUGGAAAACUUGAGUGCAGAAGAGGAAAGUGGAAUUCCAUGUGUAGCGGUGAAAUGCGCAGAGAUAUGGAGGAACACCAGUGGCGAGGGCGACUUUCUGGUCUGUAACUGACGCUGAUGUGCGAAAGCGUGGGGAUCAAACAGGAUUAGAUACCCUGGUAGUCCACGCCGUAAACGAUGAGUGCUAAGUGUUAGGGGGUUUCCGCCCCUUAGUGCUGCAGCUAACGCAUUAAGCACUCCGCCUGGGGAGUACGACCGCAAGGUUGAAACUCAAAGGAAUUGACGGGGACCCGCACAAGCGGUGGAGCAUGUGGUUUAAUUCGAAGCAACGCGAAGAACCUUACCAAAUCUUGACAUCCUUUGACAACUCUAGAGAUAGAGCCUUCCCCUUCGGGGGACAAAGUGACAGGUGGUGCAUGGUUGUCGUCAGCUCGUGUCGUGAGAUGUUGGGUUAAGUCCCGCAACGAGCGCAACCCUUAAGCUUAGUUGCCAUCAUUAAGUUGGGCACUCUAAGUUGACUGCCGGUGACAAACCGGAGGAAGGUGGGGAUGACGUCAAAUCAUCAUGCCCCUUAUGAUUUGGGCUACACACGUGCUACAAUGGACAAUACAAAGGGCAGCGAAACCGCGAGGUCAAGCAAAUCCCAUAAAGUUGUUCUCAGUUCGGAUUGUAGUCUGCAACUCGACUACAUGAAGCUGGAAUCGCUAGUAAUCGUAGAUCAGCAUGCUACGGUGAAUACGUUCCCGGGUCU
This 1372-nucleotide ribosomal RNA is filed under the name uncultured bacterium. Its description in RNAcentral is "bacterial SSU rRNA". It matches the Rfam family "Bacterial small subunit ribosomal RNA", at positions 28 to 1381 of the family's 1533-position model. The record is from RNAcentral.